UUCGAUUCUGGCUCAGGAUGAACGCUAGCGACAGGCUUAACACAUGCAAGUCGAGGGGCAGCAUAGAAGUAGCAAUACUUGGUGGCGACCGGCGCACGGGUGAGUAACGCGUAUGCAACCUACCUAUCAGAGGGGAAUAACCCGGCGAAAGUCGGACUAAUACCGCAUAAAACAGGGGCACCGCAUGGUGAUAUUUGUUAAAGAAAUUCGCUGAUAGAUGGGCAUGCGUUCCAUUAGGUAGUUGGUGAGGUAACGGCUCACCAAGCCGACGAUGGAUAGGGGAACUGAGAGGUUGGUCCCCCACACUGGUACUGAGACACGGACCAGACUCCUACGGGAGGCAGCAGUGAGGAAUAUUGGUCAAUGGGCGGGAGCCUGAACCAGCCAAGUCGCGUGAAGGAAAAGAAGGAUCUAUGGUUCGUAAACUUCUUUUGCAGGGGAAUAAAGUGCAGGACGUGUCCUGUUUUGCAUGUACCCUGAGAAUAAGGAUCGGCUAACUCCGUGCCAGCAGCCGC
RNAcentral lists this ribosomal RNA (515 nucleotides) under uncultured bacterium. RNAcentral describes it as "bacterial SSU rRNA". It matches the Rfam family "Bacterial small subunit ribosomal RNA", at positions 12 to 518 of the family's 1533-position model. The record is from RNAcentral.